GAGUGAACGCUGGCGGUAGGCCUAACACAUGCACGUCGAACGGCAGCCCAGUAAGAGCUUGCUCUUACGGGUGGCGAGUGGCGGACGGGUGAGGAAUACAUCGGAAUCUACUUUUUCGUGGGGGAUAACGUAGGGAAACUUACGCUAAUACCGCAUACGACCUACGGGUGAAAGCAGGGGAUCUUCGGACCUUGCGCGAUUGAAUGAGCCGAUGUCGGAUUAGCUAGUUGGCGGGGUAAAGGCCCACCAAGGCGACGAUCCGUAGCUGGUCUGAGAGGAUGAUCAGCCACACUGGAACUGAGACACGGUCCAGACUCCUACGGGAGGCAGCAGUGGGGAAUAUUGGACAAUGGGCGCAAGCCUGAUCCAGCCAUACCGCGUGGGUGAAGAAGGCCUUCGGGUUGUAAAGCCCUUUUGUUGGGAAAGAAAAGCAGCAGGUUAAUACCCCGCUGUUCUGACGGUACCCAAAGAAUAAGCACCGGCUAACUUCGUG
Molecule: ribosomal RNA, 493 nt
Filed under: uncultured bacterium
Lineage: Bacteria
Description: partial 16S ribosomal RNA
Rfam family: Bacterial small subunit ribosomal RNA
Source: RNAcentral